GCUCUGUGGGAUCAGUGGCGAACGGGUCGAGUAACACGUGAGCAACCUGCCCCUGACUCUGGGAUAAGCGCUGGAAACGGCGUCUAAUACUGGAUAUGUGACGUGACCGCAUGGUCUGCGUCUGGAAAGAAUUUCGGUUGGGGAUGGGCUCGCGGCCUAUCAGCUUGUUGGUGAGGUAAUGGCUCACCAAGGCGUCGACGGGUAGCCGGCCUGAGAGGGUGACCGGCCACACUGGGACUGAGACACGGCCCAGACUCCUACGGGAGGCAGCAGUGGGGAAUAUUGCACAAUGGGCGCAAGCCUGAUGCAGCAACGCCGCGUGAGGGACGACGGCCUUCGGGUUGUAAACCUCUUUUAGCAGGGAAGAAGCGAAAGUGACGGUACCUGCAGAAAAAGCGCCGGCUAACUACGUGCCAGCAGCCGCGGUAAUACGUAGGGCGCAAGCGUUAUCCGGAAUUAUUGGGCGUAAAGAGCUCGUAGGCGGUUUGUCGCGUCUGCUGUGAAAUCCGGAGGCUCAACCUCCGGCCUGCAGUGGGUACGGGCAGACUAGAGUGCGGUAGGGGAGAUUGGAAUUCCUGGUGUAGCGGUGGAAUGCGCAGAUAUCAGGAGGAACACCGAUGGCGAAGGCAGAUCUCUGGGCCGUAACUGACGCUGAGGAGCGAAAGGGUGGGGAGCAAACAGGCUUAGAUACCCUGGUAGUCCACCCCGUAAACGUUGGGAACUAGUUGUGGGGUCCAUUCCACGGAUUCCGUGACGCAGCUAACGCAUUAAGUUCCCCGCCUGGGGAGUACGGCCGCAAGGCUAAAACUCAAAGGAAUUGACGGGGACCCGCACAAGCGGCGGAGCAUGCGGAUUAAUUCGAUGCAACGCGAAGAACCUUACCAAGGCUUGACAUAUACGAGAACGGGCCAGAAAUGGUCAACUCUUUGGACACUCGUAAACAGGUGGUGCAUGGUUGUCGUCAGCUCGUGUCGUGAGAUGUUGGGUUAAGUCCCGCAACGAGCGCAACCCUCGUUCUAUGUUGCCAGCACGUAAUGGUGGGAACUCAUGGGAUACUGCCGGGGUCAACUCGGAGGAAGGUGGGGAUGACGUCAAAUCAUCAUGCCCCUUAUGUCUUGGGCUUCACGCAUGCUACAAUGGCCGGUACAAAGGGCUGCAAUACCGCGAGGUGGAGCGAAUCCCAAAAAGCCGGUCCCAGUUCGGAUUGAGGUCUGCAACUCGACCUCAUGAAGUCGGAGUCGCUAGUAAUCGCAGAUCAGCAACGCUGCGGUGAAUACGUUCCCGGGUCUUGUACACACCGCCCGUCAAGUCAUGAAAGUCGGU
This 1323-nucleotide ribosomal RNA is filed under the name Microbacterium oxydans. Its description in RNAcentral is "bacterial SSU rRNA". It matches the Rfam family "Bacterial small subunit ribosomal RNA", at positions 81 to 1415 of the family's 1533-position model. Lineage: Bacteria; Bacillati; Actinomycetota; Actinomycetes; Micrococcales; Microbacteriaceae. The record is from RNAcentral.